This 1975-nucleotide long non-coding RNA is filed under the name Onthophagus taurus. Its description in RNAcentral is "uncharacterized LOC111418445, transcript variant X2". Lineage: Eukaryota; Metazoa; Arthropoda; Insecta; Coleoptera; Scarabaeidae. The record is from RNAcentral.
UUACAAUAUCCACUAUGGUUAUUUAGAGGAUAAAUUUAUCAAGAGGUGGUAAAAGUGGGCCUAAAUUGUUUAAAUAGUUGAUUGUAAAGAUUUGUGUACAGAAGGAAUAAAUUUAAAUGCAACUUUACGAGUUUUCUUAACAAUAAAAAUUAUGUUUGACAUAGAUAAAUUAUAUAUAUAUAUCACAAGGAAAAAGAUUGCGAAGGCAAAAUGAUGCUAGAGCAAGUAAAUUUUAGCAAUUAAGUCGAAAAUGCCGAAAUGGACGUCUAUGACAGAAGAAAAAACUUGUAGAAUGGCAGAAUAUAGAAAGCUAAGCAAAAAGAUGUCUAAGCCAGAAUGAUGCUGUUGACACAAAAAUUUUCUUUUGAAAAAAUAUAGAUACGAAAUAUAAAGUAGAGUUAAGCACCAAGUUAUAUGAUGCAAGAUGAUGGAGUACUUACUUGAUAUUACUUGCAGAUUACACCAAAAAACUAGAUACUACUUAAAGAUUAGAUACUGCAUGCAGACAACUGGAUGUUGCUAAUGAAAAAAUUCACACUGCUAAUAGAAGAUUAACUAUUACUUGCAGAAAGCUGGAAAUAAAGAUACUUGUUGGAGAUACCAAGUACUAGAUGAAAAAAACUAGAUAUUGCAUAAAAAAGUCUAGAUACUGUUAAACACUGUUAUUACAACAUACAUAUUGUUGAUGAAGGACUAAGAUACUACUAAUAAAUGAUUGAUUUGAUGAGGUCUAAUAGAUGUCUAUGGCAGAAUAAUGUUGGAAGCCUUUUUAUUUCUUAUAUUACGUCUUUUCCAAAAUAGUUAACAUUGGUACUAAAAUCUGAUAUUGCUGGCAAAAGACUACAUAUUGCUGAGAAAAGCCACAAAAUUGUGGAUAAAAAUUCCUGGACGAAAAAUGCAAAAUGGAAGAGGUCACAAGAAAAAAGAUAAUGUUGGAAACAAGAAAAUUUUAGCUACUAAAAUGGAAGAAUACAAGAAUAAAAUAAGCUGGGUGAGCAGAACAACCUUUUAAAGAAAAAGAGAGAGGGUAUAAAAAAAAUCAUUCAAAGAUAUAUAGGAAAGUAUGCUGGCAGAAGGAUGCUGAAGAACGGAUAGGGACUGGAGAGAAAGAAGAGGAAAAAAUAACUGCACCAGAUUGAGAAAAGAACAUAAUCGUGCCAAUGCGAUUAAGAGCCCAGAUAGAGGAUAAACUUGAUGAGCAAACGUCGUUCCAGCAUAACAAGAUCAAAAUAUAGAUGUGUACCGAGAUAACAUAUAUAGAAUGUAUCAAGCAGACUGAUCAAAAGUAUUUACAGAAAAGUAACAGGAAUGUUUAACUCUGAUUUGGAGUUGUUAAAGAAAUACAAAUAGUAGAUUAGUAAAGAUGGCAAGAUAGAUUAAGAGAUGCGCAAUGGGUAUCACCAGAUUAAUAAUACUCUGGUAGAUAAGAAAGAUGAAAAUUAAAGCGAAAUUAAAUCUAUACAUGUUAGACAGACGCAAAUUAACAAAGUGAUGAAGUAUCUGCAAAAAUUUGUAGGAAAACCCAGAAGAAAUAGCAACUUAAGAGCUUUAGCAGAAGAGAUCUGGUUGGAAUAGUACAAAACAUCUACAAAAGAUGGAGACCCAACACCGUGAGAAGUUUUAGAAAAAUAUGGUUUAGGAUCUUCGAAACGCAAAAAAGAAGACGAAGAUGAGUAAAUAACACUUCGAAGUAAAGUUAACUAUCAAAACAUUAUCAAAUAUCAUAGAUAAUAAAACUAAAACAUAAAACAAUACUAUCUUUUUAUUACUAUGAUUGUUUAUCACGACUCAACAAAAUAAUUUAUCUCCCUUUGUAAAGCAAAACGGAUGAUGAUCAUGAUGAUGAAGCAAAACAAUUUAUAAAUGACAUUGAAACGACCUUGAGUGUAUUUGAUUUAAUUCGGCACGCGGCGUAUAGAUGGCAGAGCAAUUUUGUGUAAUUUAAUUAUUAAUAAAAAUAAAUAUAUUAAUUUAA